This 3828-nucleotide small RNA is filed under the name Pan troglodytes (chimpanzee). RNAcentral describes it as "processed transcript". Lineage: Eukaryota; Metazoa; Chordata; Mammalia; Primates; Hominidae. The record is from RNAcentral.
AAAAACCGGCGCUCAUUAGGGCAGAAUGCAGCCUACGGAGGAUGGCGGAAGAGGCUGCUGAGGCCGCAGGACGUGCUAUUCCAAGUAUGUUCAUGCAGAUGCUCCUACCAAUAAAACACUGGCUGGGCUGGUGGUGCAGCUUCUUCAGUUCCAGGAAGAUGCCUUUGGGAAGCAUGUCACCAACCCGGCCUUCACCAAACUCCCUGCAAAGUGUUUCAUGGAUUUCAAAGCUGGAGGCACCUUAUGUCACAUUCUUGGGGCUGCUUACAAGUAUAAAAAUGAACAGGGAUGGCGGAGGUUUGACCUACAGAACCCAUCUCGAAUGGAUCGUAAUGUGGAAAUGUUUAUGAACAUUGAAAAAACAUUGGUGCAGAACAAUUGUUUGACCAGACCCAACAUCUACCUCAUUCCAGACAUUGAUCUGAAGUUGGCUAACAAAUUGAAAGAUAUCAUCAAACGACAUCAGGGAACAUUUACGGAUGAGAAGUCAAAAGCUUCCCACCACAUUUACCCAUAUUCUUCCUCACAAGACGAUGAAGAAUGGUUGAGACCGGUGAUGAGAAAAGAGAAGCAAGUGUUAGUGCAUUGGGGCUUUUACCCAGACAGCUAUGAUACUUGGGUCCAUAGUAAUGAUGUUGAUGCUGAAAUUGAAGAUCCACCAAUUCCAGAAAAACCAUGGAAGGUUCAUGUGAAAUGGAUUUUGGACACUGAUAUUUUCAAUGAAUGGAUGAAUGAGGAGGAUUAUGAGGUGGAUGAAAAUAGGAAGCCUGUGAGUUUUCGUCAGCGGAUUUCAACCAAGAAUGAAGAGCCAGUCAGAAGUCCAGAAAGAAGAGAUAGAAAAACAUCAGCUAAUGCUCGAAAGAGGAAACAUUCGCCUUCGCCUCCCCCUCCGACACCAACAGAAUCACGGAAGAAGAGUGGGAAGAAAGGCCAAGCUAGCCUUUAUGGGAAGCGCAGAAGUCAGAAAGAGGAAGAUGAGCAAGAAGAUCUAACCAAGGAUAUGGAAGACCCAACACCUGUACCCAAUAUAGAAGAAGUAGUACUUCCCAAAAAUGUGAACCUAAAGAAAGAUAGUGAAAAUACACCUGUUAAAGGAGGAACUGUAGCAGAUCUAGAUGAGCAGGAUGAAGAAACAGUCACAGCAGGAGGAAAGGAAGAUGAAGAUCCUGCCAAAGGUGAUCAGAGUCGAUCAGUUGACCCUGGGGAAGAUAAUGUGACAGAGCAGACCAAUCACAUUAUUAUUCCUAGUUAUGCAUCAUGGUUUGAUUAUAACUGUAUUCAUGUGAUUGAACGGCGUGCUCUUCCUGAGUUCUUCAAUGGAAAAAACAAAUCCAAGACUCCAGAAAUAUACUUGGCAUAUCGAAAUUUUAUGAUUGACACGUAUCGUCUAAACCCCCAAGAGUAUUUAACUAGCACUGCUUGUCGGAGGAACUUGACUGGAGAUGUGUGUGCUGUGAUGAGGGUCCAUGCCUUUUUAGAGCAGUGGGGACUCGUUAAUUACCAAGUUGACCCGGAAAGUAGACCCAUGGCAAUGGGACCUCCUCCUACUCCUCAUUUUAAUGUAUUAGCUGAUACCCCCUCUGGGCUUGUGCCUCUGCAUCUUCGAUCACCUCAGGUUCCUGCUGCUCAACAGAUGCUAAAUUUUCCUGAGAAAAACAAGGAAAAACCAGUUGAUUUGCAGAACUUUGGUCUCCGUACUGACAUUUACUCCAAGAAAACAUUAGCAAAGAGUAAAGGUGCUAGUGCUGGAAGAGAAUGGACUGAACAGGAGACCCUUCUACUCCUGGAGGCCCUGGAGAUGUACAAGGAUGAUUGGAACAAAGUGUCGGAACAUGUUGGAAGUCGUACUCAGGAUGAAUGCAUCCUCCACUUUUUGAGACUUCCCAUUGAGGACCCAUACCUUGAGAAUUCAGAUGCUUCCCUUGGGCCUUUGGCCUACCAGCCUGUCCCCUUCAGUCAGUCGGGAAAUCCAGUUAUGAGUACUGUUGCUUUUUUGGCAUCUGUGGUGGACCCUCGCGUGGCAUCUGCCGCAGCAAAAGCGGCUUUGGAGGAGUUUUCUCGGGUUCGGGAGGAGGUACCACUGGAAUUGGUUGAAGCUCAUGUCAAGAAAGUACAAGAAGCAGCACGAGCCUCUGGGAAAGUGGAUCCCACCUACGGUCUGGAGAGCAGCUGCAUUGCAGGCACAGGGCCUGAUGAGCCAGAGAAGCUUGAAGGAGCUGAAGAGGAAAAAAUGGAAGCCGACCCUGAUGGUCAGCAGCCUGAAAAGGCAGAAAAUAAAGUGGAAAAUGAAACGGAUGAAGGUGAUAAAGCACAAGAUGGAGAAAAUGAAAAAAAUAGUGAAAAGGAACAGGAUAGUGAAGUGAGUGAGGAUACCAAAUCAGAAGAAAAGGAGACUGAAGAGAACAAAGAACUCACUGAUACAUGUAAAGAAAGAGAAAGUGAUACUGGGAAGAAGAAAGUAGAACAUGAAAUUUCCGAAGGAAAUGUUGCCACAGCCGCAGCAGCUGCUCUUGCCUCAGCGGCUACCAAAGCCAAGCACCUGGCUGCAGUGGAAGAAAGAAAGAUCAAGUCCCUGGUAGCUCUCUUGGUUGAGACACAAAUGAAGAAACUAGAGAUCAAACUUCGACAUUUUGAAGAGCUGGAAACUAUCAUGGACAGAGAGAAAGAAGCUCUAGAACAACAGAGGCAGCAGUUGCUUACUGAACGCCAAAACUUCCACAUGGAACAGCUGAAGUAUGCUGAAUUACGAGCACGACAGCAAAUGGAACAGCAGCAGCAUGGCCAGAACCCUCAACAGGCACACCAGCACUCAGGAGGACCUGGCCUGGCCCCACUUGGAGCAGCAGGGCACCCUGGCAUGAUGCCUCAUCAACAGCCCCCUCCCUACCCUCUGAUGCACCACCAGAUGCCACCACCUCAUCCACCCCAGCCAGGUCAGAUACCAGGCCCAGGUUCCAUGAUGCCCGGGCAGCACAUGCCAGGCCGCAUGAUUCCCACUGUUGCAGCCAACAUCCACCCCUCUGGGAGUGGCCCUACCCCUCCUGGCAUGCCGCCAAUGCCAGGAAACAUCUUAGGACCCCGGGUACCCCUGACAGCACCUAACGGCAUGUAUCCCCCUCCACCACAGCAGCAGCCACCGCCACCGCCACCUGCAGAUGGGGUCCCUCCGCCUCCUGCUCCUGGCCCGCCAGCCUCAGCUGCUCCUUAGCCUGGAAGAUGCAGGGAACCUCCACGCCCACCACCAUGAGCUGGAGUGGGGAUGACAAGACUUGUGUUCCUCAACUUUCUUGGGUUUCUUUCAGGAUUUUUCUUCUCACAGCUCCAAGCACGUGUCCCGUGCCUCCCCACUCCUCUUACCACCCCUCUCUCUGACACUUUUUGUGUUGGGUCCUCAGCCAACACUCAAGGGGAAACCUGUGGUGACAGUGUGCCCUGGUCAUCCUUAAAAUAACCUGCAUCUCCCCUGUCCUGGUGUGGGAGUAAGCUGACAAGUUUCUCUGCAGGUCCUGUCAACUUUAGCAUGCUAUGUCUUUACCAUUUUUGCUCUCUUGCAGUUUUUUGCUUUGUCUUAUGCUUCUAUGGAUAAUGCUAUAUAAUCAUUAUCUUUUUAUCUUUCUGUUAUUAUUGUUUUAAAGGAGAGCAUCCUAAGUUAAUAGGAACCAAAAAAUAAUGAUGGGCAGAAGGGGGGGAAUAGCCACAGGGGACAAACCUUAAGGCAUUAUAAGUGACCUUAUUUCUGCUUUUCUGAGCUAAGAAUGGUGCUGAUGGUAAAGUUUGAGACUUUUGCCACACACAAAUGUGUGAAAAUUAAAUGAGAUGUGGAAGGAG